RNAcentral lists this ribosomal RNA (468 nucleotides) under uncultured bacterium. Its description in RNAcentral is "partial 16S ribosomal RNA". It matches the Rfam family "Bacterial small subunit ribosomal RNA", at positions 28 to 507 of the family's 1533-position model. The record is from RNAcentral.
GACGAACGCCGGCGGCGUGCUUAACACAUGCAAGUCGAACGGAAAGGCCCUGCUUUUGUGGGGUGCUCGAGUGGCGAACGGGUGAGUAACACGUGAGUAACCUGCCCUUGACUUUGGGAUAACUUCAGGAAACUGGGGCUAAUACCGGAUAGGAGCUCCUGCUGCAUGGUGGGGGUGGGAAAGUUUCGGCGGUUGGGGAUGGACUCGCGGCUUAUCAGCUUGUUGGUGGGGUAGUGGCUUACCAAGGCUUUGACGGGUAGCCGGCCUGAGAGGGUGACCGGCCACAUUGGGACUGAGAUACGGCCCAGACUCCUACGGGAGGCAGCAGUGGGGAAUAUUGCACAAUGGGCGGAAGCCUGAUGCAGCAACGCCGUGUGCGGGAUGACGGCCUUCGGGUUGUAAACCGCUUUCGCCUGUGACGAAGCGUGAGUGACGGUAAUGGGUAAAGAAGCACCGGCUAACUACGUG